Molecule: ribosomal RNA, 253 nt
Filed under: uncultured Staphylococcus sp.
Lineage: Bacteria; Bacillati; Bacillota; Bacilli; Caryophanales; Staphylococcaceae
Description: partial 16S ribosomal RNA
Rfam family: Bacterial small subunit ribosomal RNA
Source: RNAcentral
AGUAACACGUGGAUAACCUACCUAUAAGACUGGGAUAACUUCGGGAAACCGGAGCUAAUACCGGAUAAUAUAUUGAACCGCAUGGUUCAAUAGUGAAAGACGGUUUUGCUGUCACUUAUAGAUGGAUCCGCGCCGCAUUAGCUAGUUGGUAAGGUAACGGCUUACCAAGGCAGCGAUGCGUAGCCGACCUGAGAGGGUGAUCGGCCACACUGGAACUGAGACACGGUCCAGACUCCUACGGGAGGCAGCAGCA